This 465-nucleotide ribosomal RNA is filed under the name Vreelandella stevensii. Its description in RNAcentral is "partial 16S ribosomal RNA". It matches the Rfam family "Bacterial small subunit ribosomal RNA", at positions 338 to 795 of the family's 1533-position model. Lineage: Bacteria; Pseudomonadati; Pseudomonadota; Gammaproteobacteria; Oceanospirillales; Halomonadaceae. The record is from RNAcentral.
CCUACGGGAGACAGCAGUGGGGAAUAUUGGACAAUGGGGGCAACCCUGAUCCAGCCAUGCCGCGUGUGUGAAGAAGGCCCUCGGGUUGUAAAGCACUUUCAGUGAGGAAGAACGCCUGGUGGUUAAUACCCAUCAGGAAAGACAUCACUCACAGAAGAAGCACCGGCUAACUCCGUGCCAGCAGCCGCGGUAAUACGGAGGGUGCGAGCGUUAAUCGGAAUUACUGGGCGUAAAGCGCGCGUAGGUGGCUUGAUAAGCCGGUUGUGAAAGCCCCGGGCUCAACCUGGGAACGGCAUCCGGAACUGUCAAGCUAGAGUGCAGGAGAGGAAGGUAGAAUUCCCGGUGUAGCGGUGAAAUGCGUAGAGAUCGGGAGGAAUACCAGUGGCGAAGGCGGCCUUCUGGACUGACACUGACACUGAGGUGCGAAAGCGUGGGUAGCAAACAGGAUUAGAUACCCGAGUAGUC